Molecule: small RNA, 350 nt
Filed under: Histoplasma ohiense
Lineage: Eukaryota; Fungi; Ascomycota; Eurotiomycetes; Onygenales; Ajellomycetaceae
Description: hypothetical lncRNA
Source: RNAcentral
UCACCAGAAUCCUUCCUUUUGCUUCUCAGUAAAUUUCAUUUACACCAGGUGAAGCAAUAGAAUCAUUGUCAUUUCAGUCAUCAAUUACACCCACUCGAUGACCAUGUUCUUUGAAUAUACAGUGCUCACUUUAUAUGACUCAUAAAGCAGCCGUGCGAAUCAGCUAUACCACGCACACAAUCAAUGGUAAUUUUGGUUUGGAUUUCAGCAGCAGAUGACUUAUUAUUGCCACUGACAGAGAAAUGGUUUUUGGCAUCUGAGAAUGAGAGUGCAGACCUGCUAGGUGCUGUGUGUGAUGAGAGUGUUGAUUAAUAUACUCCAGAAAGCCUAGGCGGGGUGGUUUGUCUUGU